AUGGCGUCACCUCCGCGCGUGCUCCUCGGGCACACCCUCCUCCUCAUCUCCCUCCUACCGCUCCUCGCCUGCGCCGGACUCGUCCUCGAGGACGGCUACACCGUCUCCACGGUCUCCGACCUAAACCCCACCGGGACCCACCCCUACGCGCUCCUCCCGCGGCCCCGCGCCGGGGACCUCGUCCUCCUCGACUCCGCCGGAUCCACGCUCUACACCCUCCCCCUCCCCGUCUCCGCGGACGCCGGGCUGCGGAGGCUCGCGGGGGGCGCCGGCGCCUUCGGCCACGGCCACCCCCGCAGCAUCGCCGUCGACGGCGCCGACAACGUCUACGUAGCCGACCGCGCCAACGGCUCCAUCCGCAAGGUCGCGCCAUCCGGUUAUACUACUACAAUUGCUGGAGGGUACUCAGCGGGGACUGGUCACAGGGAUGAACCUGCACAGAAUGCUACCUUUUCGCCUGAUUUUGAGCUUACUUAUAUCCCCAAAAUUUGUGCACUGUUGGUUGCUGACAGAGGAAAUCGAUUGAUUAGACAAAUCAAACUAAAGCCAGAAGAUUGUGCACAUGAGAACCAGAAAGGCCUGGGAACCACAUCUGCCUCAAUCAUUGCAAUAUUGGCUGCGCUGUUUGGUUCAAUUAUUGGGUUCUACCCUUUCCAUGAAGUCUCCAUCAACCGCUUUUUCAGCAGGAUACAGAGGCAAUACAGGAGAACCCAGAGGAAGGCGGCACUGAUCAGCUUCUCCGACAUCAGAAACGCAAUUGCUAACUCCAUGCUUUCUACCGUCCUGCUGAAACUAGUUAGAGUUAGUGUUGGCUAUCUUACUGUUGUGUUACCUAGUAUUAGGCUAGAGCGAGGAGUUGCCUGUAAGCCUUCUCCUCCUUCUCCUUCUCCUUCUCCUCCUCUUCUUGAUCUAGACAUGGCUGGUACUACUACUCCUGCCAUUGGUCUUGACAAUGAAGCACUGCCUUCUACCGAGCUUUUGGGGGAUUUCGUCGGCUUCGAUGAUAGUGAUAGUGAUGGUAGUGCCAAUGAUCAGGAGGAGGAUAAAGAGACGUCGCUUGACAGGGACUUGUGGGCGCUUCUUGAUAACCCACAAGGCAGUUCUAAGAAAAUAGAUAGUAUGAUCGAGGCCAACUUAUUGGACUUUUCAGGCCAAGACAACUAUUCUGGAGUAAGUAGGAGGUUACAUGGAGGUAGCAAGGUUCUCUGA
Molecule: ribosomal RNA, 1209 nt
Filed under: Triticum aestivum (bread wheat)
Lineage: Eukaryota; Viridiplantae; Streptophyta; Magnoliopsida; Poales; Poaceae
Description: partial small subunit ribosomal RNA
Source: RNAcentral